UUUUGCAAAAGGCAAAUCUAUCGAAAGGUAGAGACGCAAAGCCACGAGUCUAAGGUGGAGACACUAUGACAGUCGGGUUGCCAAA
This 85-nucleotide non-coding RNA is filed under the name Acetivibrio straminisolvens. RNAcentral describes it as "Clostridium straminisolvens c-di-GMP sequence". It matches the Rfam family "c-di-GMP-I riboswitch aptamer". From Rfam's summary of the family: GEMM was predicted in a large-scale screen for bacterial structured RNA regulatory elements. Genes associated with GEMM are involved in a diverse array of functions, including chemotaxis regulation, signal transduction, secretion and chitin. The record is from RNAcentral. Lineage: Bacteria; Bacillati; Bacillota; Clostridia; Acetivibrionales; Acetivibrionaceae. RNAcentral also lists the same sequence under 1 other name.